UCUCAUCAUGCCUCUAGUGGCCAGAAGAGGUUAUUGUGGUGCUCAGAGCAAUAUUUUAGAAUUAUGACUUCUAACAGGAUCAUGGUGGCAUUCCUCUUGGUGUAGCCGCUGCCAGGCCUAACAGACCAUAAGAGGGGCCUGCCAGCCAUUUCCCCUCCUCAGUGUUGAUUUUUUUUUUUUUUUUAAAGAAUAUCCGAAGAUAUGGACAUGUAACAAACCACUCAUUGUAUAUCUCCAGGAGUCUGAGAAGUAAAUGAACCUCCAGAUUUUCACGGAAAGCUGCAAUAUUUCAGUGAACCAUGACUAAUGAAUGCAGAACAUGGCAAUUAUUGCAUGAGGAAUUCUGGUGGCAUUUUUAACAUAGCCAAGGCUUGGGUUUGAUGGCACAUGAAGCUGUAUACUUGCUAAAACUAAGCUCAUCUGGAUCUGGUUGGGAAAAACAUUUAGGAUGUCCUGUGCUUCUUCCAAAGAAUAUUAACUUGCAUUGAUUAAAUGACUUUGACCACAGCCUACUGGAAAUUUCUGCUGCACAAGCCACAGUGCACAGCUGCCAUUCAUCUCAAUGGGAAUUUGUGCCGAAUAGGAUUUGUGCAGAAGUACUUGGUGAGGCAGGGCUAUUGGACAGUAAUA
Molecule: long non-coding RNA, 630 nt
Organism: Hemicordylus capensis (graceful crag lizard)
Lineage: Eukaryota; Metazoa; Chordata; Lepidosauria; Squamata; Cordylidae
Exons: 3
Source: RefSeq, a predicted model, not a curated record